GAAACGUCAACUGAGUGUGGAAACUGGCGAACGUACAGAACCUCAUCUCUGAUUAAUAUUCCGGAAACAGUCUGUUUGGCCUUUCCCUCAGGUCUAGGCUAGAUUAGGCCAUCGGAUUUCUCGUGCCGUCGGACUCCGCAUUCGUACGUAAGUGCAGGACUAAGCAACGUUCUACACAGAGGUAGCAAGAUGCACUAAACGAUCCUCUCGAGACCUAAGCUUCCAUCAGACAGGGAACUCUGGCGGUCAUGUCCCUCUCUGUUCUCAUCUCAGCAGGACUUCUGGCAUGUGAGUCCUGUCGCCCCACGACCAUUUUCAAGUGAAAGAACCGAAGAAGUCUCCAAUCAAAGAAUCAAAGUUCGAGUCGAUCGAAAGUGACUGAAGAUCCACUCCGGGGCAAGUAAUGACAGGCUAUGUUGUCUCUGAGGCUAAAAAACUUCGUAUUCCGCCUGAGGAUAAGGAAGAGAUCGCUUUGCGGCGAGUUCCAAGGUCAAAGCCAAGGCUGACAUAGCGUAAGGAAGAAGGAAGUACGAAAGAACCAACGGCGAAAUGAAACGAAAUCAAAGAUAUUUCCAUAUUUCUUCAGCCAGCAUCAGUUUGAAACCUUGCAGAGCAUUUCACCAGAGAACAAAGCGUAAGAUUUCGGGAAUCUGCUGAACUGUAACAGUGUUUUUGUGUCAGUACAAAAUCUCUACGACUUUUCUAGAGUUUGUUUUGGUCAACAAGCACUGUAUUUGACAUUCUUCCUCAGGUGCAAGCGUUUGCGCCCUUAUGUGAUGAGUGGCCUAUGUUACGCCACAUCAAAUGAAAAUUCAUCACACGAAUUGAGACAGUCACGUAAACAUCAAGC
Long non-coding RNA from Macrobrachium nipponense, 850 nucleotides. RefSeq lists it as uncharacterized. The transcript is spliced from 3 exons. The record is from RefSeq and is a predicted model, not a curated record. NCBI's taxonomy places the organism in Eukaryota, Metazoa, Arthropoda, Malacostraca, Decapoda, Palaemonidae.